RNAcentral lists this ribosomal RNA (453 nucleotides) under uncultured Prevotellaceae bacterium. Its description in RNAcentral is "partial 16S ribosomal RNA". It matches the Rfam family "Bacterial small subunit ribosomal RNA", at positions 341 to 792 of the family's 1533-position model. Lineage: Bacteria; Pseudomonadati; Bacteroidota; Bacteroidia; Bacteroidales; Prevotellaceae. The record is from RNAcentral.
ACGGAAGGCAGCAGUGAGGAAUAUUGGUCAAUGGGCGGAAGCCUGAACCAGCCAAGUCGCGUGAAGGAUGAAGGUAUUAUGUAUUGUAAACUUCUUUAGCAGUGGGGUAAUAAGGGAGUCGUGACUCCUGAUGCAAGUACACUGAAAAUAAGGAUCGGCUAAUUCCGUGCCAGCAGCCGCGGUAAUACGGAAGAUCCGAGCGUUAUCCGGAUUUAUUGGGUUUAAAGGGAGCGUAGGCGGGCCUUUAAGUCAGUGGUCAAAGCGUGUGGCUCAACCAUACCACGCCGUUGAUACUGGAGGCCUUGAGUGCACAUAAGGAUGGUGGAAUUCAUGGUGUAGCGGUGAAAUGCUUAGAUAUCAUGAAGAACUCCGAUUGCGAAGGCAGCUGUCCGGGGUGUAACUGACGCUAAUGCUCGAAAGUGCGGGUAUCAAACAGGAUUAGAUACCCUGGUA